GUUUUGCUUUUGCGAGAGGCAUGAUCGUGCCUUGGAAACGGGAAAAAUGUGUUUUCUGUUUUUUUGCGAGAGACACGGUUUUACAUGGUUAGUCAUAAAAUCCUACAUAAAACUUGUAGAUCACUGAGUAUCAUAUGUUCGAUUCCCUGCAAUAGUUUUGCGACAUUAAGAUAGUAAUAUGUGGUAACUAGUUCAUGAUUGUUGAUUAGUAAGAAUAUUGAU
RNAcentral lists this long non-coding RNA (222 nucleotides) under Hordeum vulgare. RNAcentral's name for it is "long non-coding RNA (HVUL_LNC011438)". The record is from RNAcentral. Lineage: Eukaryota; Viridiplantae; Streptophyta; Magnoliopsida; Poales; Poaceae.